UGAGGAAUAUUCUGCAAUGGGCGAAAGCCUGACAGAGCAAUACCGCGUGAGGGAUGAAGGCUUUCGGGUUGUAAACCUCUUUUCUCAAGGAAGAAGAUCUGACGUUACUUGAGGAAUAAGCAUCGGCUAACUCUGUGCCAGCAGCCGCGGUAAUACAGGGGAUGCGAGUGUUAUCCGGAAUUAUUGGGCGUAAAGCGUCUGCAGGUGGAUUUUUAAGUCUUUUGUUAAAUAUUUAAGCUUAACUUAAAAAUUGCAAAGGAAACUAAAAUUCUAGAGUUUGGUAGAGGUAAAGGGAAUUUCCAGUGGAAUGGUGAAAUAUAUAGAUAUUGGAAAGAACACCAAAGGCGAAGGCAUUUUACUGGGCCAUAACUGACACUGAGAGACGAAAGCUAGGGGAGCAAACGG
RNAcentral lists this ribosomal RNA (405 nucleotides) under uncultured bacterium. RNAcentral describes it as "bacterial SSU rRNA". It matches the Rfam family "Bacterial small subunit ribosomal RNA", at positions 355 to 775 of the family's 1533-position model. The record is from RNAcentral.